Molecule: ribosomal RNA, 1202 nt
Filed under: uncultured fungus
Lineage: Eukaryota; Fungi
Description: eukaryotic LSU rRNA
Rfam family: Eukaryotic large subunit ribosomal RNA (bases 551-1202)
Source: RNAcentral
CUUGGUCAUUUAGAGGAAGUAAAAGUCGUAACAAGGUUUCCGUAGGUGAACCUGCGGAAGGAUCAUUAAAGAGAAAGGAUGAAAGUCCAACCUCCAACCCUUUGUUAUAAACCACUAGUUGCCUUGCCUUAUGUCAGUUGACUGGGGGUGUGGGGAAACCCGUGCCAACUCUUAACGGGCCUCUAUGGCAAUGGACCUUUAAACUCGAAUAUCAGUGUAGUCUGAGAAAAAAUUCAAUGAAUUAAAACUUUCAACAACGGAUCUCUUGGUUCUGGCAUCGAUGAAGAACGCAGCGAAAUGCGAUAAGUAAUGUGAAUUGCAGAAUUCAGUGAAUCAUCGAAUCUUUGAACGCACAUUGCGCCCUCUGGUAUUCCGGAGGGCAUGCCUGUUCGAGCGUCAUUACAACCCUCAAGCUCUGCUUGGCCUUGGGCGUCACCGGUAACGGUGGGCCCCAAACCCAGUGGCGGUGCCGUCUGGCUCUAAGCGUAGUAAUUCUUCUCGCUAUAGAUGCCCGGUGGAUGCUUGCCAGUAACCCCCAAUUUUUUCAGGUUGACCUCGGAUCAGGUAGGGAUACCCGCUGAACUUAAGCAUAUCAAUAAGCGGAGGAAAAGAAACCAACAGGGAUUACCUCAGUAACGGCGAGUGAAGCGGUAACAGCUCAAAUUUGAAAUCUGGGUCUUUCAGGCUCCGAGUUGUAAUUUGUAGAAGAUGCUUCGGGUGCGGCUCCGGUCUAAGUUCCUUGGAACAGGACGUCAUAGAGGGUGAGAAUCCCGUAUGUGAUCGGUUGCCUGCGCCCGUGUGAAGCUCUUUCGACGAGUCGAGUUGUUUGGGAAUGCAGCUCAAAAUGGGUGGUAAAUUUCAUCUAAAGCUAAAUAUUGGCCAGAGACCGAUAGCGCACAAGUAGAGUGAUCGAAAGAUGAAAAGCACUUUGGAAAGAGAGUUAAACAGUACGUGAAAUUGUUGAAAGGGAAGCGCUUGCAACCAGACUUGCGCGUUGCCGAUCAUCCGGGGUUCUCCCCGGUGCACUCGGCUUCGCUCAGGCCAGCAUCGGUUUUGGUGGUGGGAUAAAGGCCUUGGGAAUGUAGCUCCUCUCGGGGAGUGUUAUAGCCCUCGGUGCAAUGCCGCCUACCGGGACCGAGGACCGCGCUUCGGCUAGGAUGCUGGCGUAAUGGUUGUAAGCGACCCGUCUUGAAACACGGACC